CUUGGUCAUUUAGAGGAAGUAAAAGUCGUAACAAGGUUUCCGUAGGUGAACCUGCGGAAGGAUCAUUAAGAGUACGGACGUUCUCGUCCGGGUCUUUACCCAAACCUCUGUGAACUCUUCCCUGUUGCUUCGGCGAGACAGCACUCCGGUGCCCGACUGCUCUGGCGGUUGGAGUGCUCGCCAGAAGACCAUUUAAACUCGAGUUUUGGUGCCUGUCUGAAAAAAAAAGCAAUACUUAAAACUUUCAACAACGGAUCUCUUGGUUCUCGCAUCGAUGAAGAACGCAGCGAAAUGCGAUAAGUAAUGUGAAUUGCAGAAUUCAGUGAAUCAUCGAAUCUUUGAACGCACAUUGCGCCCCUUGGUAUUCCGAUGGGCACGUCUGUAUGAACGUCAUAUAAACACUCAAGCCCUGCUUGGUGAUGGGGGCGGCUUUGCCGUCACCCGCAAUCCGUGGGCGGAGGCCGCCACACGUCGGAGUAGUGAACACUUUCUCUAGAACGUGUGGAGGGUCCCCAGCCAAACGUCUUCUCAAGUUUGACUUCAUAUCAGACGAGGUUACCCGCUGAACUUAAGCAUAUCAAUAAGCGGAGGAAAAGAAACCAACUGGGAUUGCCUCAGUAACGGCGAGUGAAGCGGCAAAAGCUCAAAUUUGAAAUCUGGCCUUUGGCCCGAGUUGUAAUUUGGAGAGGUGUCUUUGGCGUACACGCGGGCCUACAUUCCUUGGAACAGGAUGGCAUAGAGGGUGAGAUCCCCGUCUUCGGCCCGUAGUCGUCGCCAUGUAUAGACCCUUCGACGAGUCGAGUUGUUUGGGAAUGCAGCUCAAAAUGGGUGGUAAAUUUCAUCUAAAGCUAAAUACCGGCGAGAGACCGAUAGCGCACAAGUAGAGUGAUCGAAAGAUGAAAAGCACUUUGGAAAGAGAGUCAAACAGUACGUGAAAUUGUUGAAAGGGAAGCGCUUGCAACCAGACUCUUUCGCGGUUGAUCAGCCGUUCUUCUGGACGGUGCACUCUGCCGUGAUCGGGACAGCAUCGGUCGGUGCGGCGGGACAAAGGCUUCGGGAAUGUGGCUCUCUUCGGGGAGUGUUAUAGCCCGUUGCGUAAUGCCGCCAGUGCCGACCGAGGUCCGCGCUAUGCUAGGAUGCUGUCAUAAUGGUUGUCAGCGACCCGUCUUGAAACACGGACC
RNAcentral lists this ribosomal RNA (1181 nucleotides) under uncultured fungus. RNAcentral's name for it is "eukaryotic LSU rRNA". The stretch from base 536 to 1181 matches the Rfam family "Eukaryotic large subunit ribosomal RNA", at positions 1 to 667 of the family's 3401-position model. Lineage: Eukaryota; Fungi. The record is from RNAcentral.